AACUGAACCACUGUGACUAGUUGAGAACAAUCAACGCCGGUAGCACACCCGCACAUCUACAACGGUGGAAGAUCUAGACUUAAUAUUUAUUGGGAGGUUUGAGUUUAGGUCUCAUCUAAUCAGUCAUCAUAUGACUGAUUUAAUUGGCAUGGGCUAAACCAGAUUGCUAAGCAACCUAAUUCAAGACCAAUCUUUCAAAUU
This 201-nucleotide long non-coding RNA is filed under the name Elaeis guineensis (African oil palm). Its description in RNAcentral is "long non-coding RNA (EGUI_LNC078897)". The record is from RNAcentral. Lineage: Eukaryota; Viridiplantae; Streptophyta; Magnoliopsida; Arecales; Arecaceae.